RNAcentral lists this ribosomal RNA (253 nucleotides) under uncultured bacterium. RNAcentral's name for it is "partial 16S ribosomal RNA". It matches the Rfam family "Bacterial small subunit ribosomal RNA", at positions 524 to 776 of the family's 1533-position model. The record is from RNAcentral.
UACGGAAGGGGCUAGCGUUGUCCGGAAUUACUGGGCGUAAAGGGCGCGUAGGCGGCCUAGCAAGUUCGGGGCGAAAGCCCGAGGCUCAACCUUGGAAGUGCCUCCAAAACUGCGAAGCUCGAGGGCGGGAGAGGGGUGUGGAAUUCUUGGCGUAGCGGUGAAAUUCGUAGAUACCAGGAGGAACGCCGGUGGCGAAGGCGACUCCCUGGCCGGGUACUGACGCUGAGGCGCGAAAGCGUGGGGAGCAAACCGG